Molecule: transfer RNA, 91 nt
Filed under: Halothermothrix orenii H 168
Lineage: Bacteria; Bacillati; Bacillota; Clostridia; Halanaerobiales; Halothermotrichaceae
Rfam family: tRNA
About the family: Transfer RNA (tRNA) molecules are approximately 80 nucleotides in length.
Source: Rfam by way of RNAcentral
GGAGAGGUGUCCGAGUCUGGCUUAAGGAGCAUGAUUGGAGAUCAUGUGUAGCCCCUGUUGGCUACCGAGGGUUCAAAUCCCUCCCUCUCCG